AACACUGGAUCUCCUACUUCAGUUUUGUCUGCUCAUGGUUCAGACAUGCUGGGAUCAGCAUCUUUGCAUCAACAAAACAGAUGCUCUUCACCGACUUCAUGUACCACUGAUGUACCCUCUAUUGGUCUAGCUGUAAUUGAGAAGCAACCUGAAAUAUUCAAAGAAGAAGAUAAAGGUUGUCUCUCCUCAACUCAGAUGCCCAGUGGCUUGACCUUGGGAAAUUUACCUUCAAUGGUACAGUAAAAUCUCAGCUCAUAACUAGUUUACAUCAUUCUUAGAUGACCGCGGGAUUGUGACUUUGUUUUUUGUGAUCUUGAUCGUAACUCUUCCAGAAUUGUGAUUUAAGUUCAAGAAACACUUCUUCUCCUGAGGAAAUUGGAGGCACUGAAGCACCCUCCAUCAAGCUCUUUGGAAGGACAGUUUUGGUCACCGAAAUCCAAAAACCAGAUCAUCAAGAAGCGGGCAUUAAAAAAUCACCUGUGCAGAAGACUGGUGAAGACGAUUCAGUUACUGAGGAUGAGGGACUGGGUAAACCUCUAUCUUCAGUAGAAUUUGACAUGCAGUUGUCUCUUGGACUAGCUUGUGGUAACAAUGGAUUCUUGCACUCUGGUGCCCAUGCUGCCACUGCCAUGAAACUUCAGAAAGAGGAUGUUGAAUCUUCACGGUUUACUUCUGAUUGUUUCUUGCCAUGGUGGCCUUUGUACCAAGGUCCACCAUUCAUCUAUGUGACACCAUCUGACUCAACCUUGAUUCAAGGACCUUUAGAUUCUCACGAGGAUCGAAAGAUGGAAGUAGAGGAAAUUAUCAAGGAAACAUCCAGCGAAACAAACACGGUAGCUAAGAAAACAGAAGGAUACGGUGAUAAUAAUGUAGAAAACAAUGCGGAUGGUGUUUUUCCCAAGUGCCGAAAACACUUGGAGCGGAGAACUCACCCUGGUGACUGCAAGAAGGGUUUUGUGCCUUACAAAAGAUGCUUAGCAGAGAGAGAUGUCAAGUCUCCUGUAAUUGUUUCUGAAGAACGUCAGGCACAAAGAACCAGGGUGUGUUCAUAACACUGCCUACUCAGGUAAGACACGAGCUUAUCUGGUAGCAUAGAACCUGUUUAUAACUGAUCCGCAUGAUUCUUGGACUCCCUCUGCUCCGCAAUUGUGUAAUAUUCC
Molecule: long non-coding RNA, 1160 nt
Filed under: Eucalyptus grandis
Lineage: Eukaryota; Viridiplantae; Streptophyta; Magnoliopsida; Myrtales; Myrtaceae
Description: long non-coding RNA (EGRA_LNC006496)
Source: RNAcentral